RNAcentral lists this ribosomal RNA (523 nucleotides) under uncultured bacterium. RNAcentral's name for it is "bacterial SSU rRNA". It matches the Rfam family "Bacterial small subunit ribosomal RNA", at positions 8 to 525 of the family's 1533-position model. The record is from RNAcentral.
AGAGUGUGAUCCUGAGUCAGAUAGAACGCUGGCGGAAUGUUUUACACAUGCAUGUUGAACGGCAGCACGGGGAGCAUCCGUGGUGUCGAGUGGCGAACAGGUGAGUAAUACAUUGGAACGUGUCCAGUCGUGGGGGAUAAUGUAUCGAAAGUUACGCUAAUACCGCAUACGAUCUAUGGAUGAAAGCGGUGGGCGGUAAGGCCUCGUGUGAGUGGAGCGGUCGAUGUUAGAUUAGGUAGUUGAUGUGGUAAAGGUCCACCAAGCCGACGAUCUGUAGAUGGUCUGAGAGGACGGCCAUCCACACUGGGACUGAGACACGGUCCAGACUCCUACGGGAGGCAGCAGUGGGGAAUUUUGGACAAUGGGCGCAAGCCUGAUCCAUCCAUUCCGCGUGCAGGACGAAGGCCUUCGGGUUGUAAACUGCUUUUGUACGGAACGAAAAGGUCCUGGUUAAUACCCGGGGCUCAAGACGGUACUGUAAGAAUAAGCACCGGCUAACUAUGUGACAGCAGAUGCGGUAAUA